RNAcentral lists this ribosomal RNA (119 nucleotides) under Pteropus alecto (black flying fox). The record is from RNAcentral. Lineage: Eukaryota; Metazoa; Chordata; Mammalia; Chiroptera; Pteropodidae.
GACUACGGCCAUGCCACUCUGAACAAGCCCGAUCCCGUCUGAUCUCAGAAGCUAAGCAGGAUUGGGCCUGGUUAGUACUUGGAUGGGAGACCACCUAGGAAGACCAGGUGCUGUAGGCG